CAGAGUUCAUGCCCUCACGGGUAGAUCUCCCACCCUUGAAUAUUUUAUACCUUUGUUGCUUUGGCGGGCCGCUUCGGCUACCGGCUUCGGCUGGUGAGUGCCCGCCAGAGGACCACAACUCUUGUUUUUAGUGAUGUCUGAGUACUAUAUAAUAGUUA
Molecule: unclassified non-coding RNA, 158 nt
Filed under: uncultured Helotiales
Lineage: Eukaryota; Fungi; Ascomycota; Leotiomycetes; Helotiales
Description: sequence contains ITS1
Source: RNAcentral